Molecule: ribosomal RNA, 253 nt
Filed under: uncultured bacterium
Lineage: Bacteria
Description: partial 16S ribosomal RNA
Rfam family: Bacterial small subunit ribosomal RNA
Source: RNAcentral
GACGAAGGGGGCUAGCGUUGUUCGGAAUUACUGGGCGUAAAGCGCGUGUAGGCGGUUGCCCAAGUCGGGUGUGAAAGCCUUGAGCUCAACUCAAGAAAUGCACUCGGUACUGGGUGACUAGAGGACCGGAGAGGAUAGUGGAAUUCCCAGUGUAGUGGUGAAAUACGUAGAGAUUGGGAAGAACACCAGUGGCGAAGGCGGCUCACUGGCCCGGUACUGACGCUGAGGCACGAAAGCGUGGGGAGCAAACAGG